Molecule: long non-coding RNA, 235 nt
Organism: Etheostoma cragini (Arkansas darter)
Lineage: Eukaryota; Metazoa; Chordata; Actinopteri; Perciformes; Percidae
Exons: 3
Source: RefSeq, a predicted model, not a curated record
GUGUGUGUGUGUGUGUGUGUGUGUGUGUGUGUGUGUGUGUGUGUGUUUGUGUGUGCAGUAAAAGUGUGCUGGUUUGGAUUUUACCAGUGGCUCUAAUCCGGAGCGUCCUAUCCUGUAGAAAACAUUGAACAUAAAAAGACAGUGACAAGCAGUAACGGAAAGUACAUAAAGAAUAAAGGCAAUUUCAUUCAAGUAAACAAACAAUUCCGUCAAGUUUGAUACAUUUGGCCCGAAA